CCUACGGGUGGCAGCAGUGAGGAAUAUUUGUCAAUGGCCGUAAGGCUGAACCAGCCAAGUAGCGUUAGGGAAGACUGCCCUAUGGGUUGUAAACCUCUUUUAUGCGGGGAUAAAGGUGUCCACGUGUGGAUGUUUGCAGGUACCGCAUGAAUAAGGACCGGCUAACUCCGUGCCAGCAGCCGCGGUAAUACGGAGGAUCCGAGCGUUAUCAGGAUUUAUUGGGUUUAAAGGGAGCGUAGAAGGGUUGUUAAGUCAGUUGUGAAAGUUUGCGGCUCAACCGGAAAAUUGCAAUUGAUACUGGCAGUCUUGAGUACAGUUGAGGUAGGGGGAAGUCGUGGUGUAGCGGUGAAAUGCAUAGAUAGCACGAAGAACCCCGAUUGCGAAGGCAGCUUACUAAACUGUGACUGACAUUGAUGCUCGAAAGUGUGGGUAUCAAACAGGAUUAGAUACCCGAGUAGUC
RNAcentral lists this ribosomal RNA (460 nucleotides) under uncultured bacterium. RNAcentral describes it as "partial 16S ribosomal RNA". It matches the Rfam family "Bacterial small subunit ribosomal RNA", at positions 338 to 795 of the family's 1533-position model. The record is from RNAcentral.